RNAcentral lists this ribosomal RNA (273 nucleotides) under uncultured Nitrobacter sp. RNAcentral describes it as "partial 16S ribosomal RNA". It matches the Rfam family "Bacterial small subunit ribosomal RNA", at positions 524 to 796 of the family's 1533-position model. Lineage: Bacteria; Pseudomonadati; Pseudomonadota; Alphaproteobacteria; Hyphomicrobiales; Nitrobacteraceae. The record is from RNAcentral.
UCCGGAGGGAGCUAGCGUUGUUCGGAAUUACUGGGCGUAAAGGGUGCGUAGGCGGGUCUUUAAGUCAGGGGUGAAAUCCUGGAGCUCAACUCCAGAACUGCCUUUGAUACUGAGGAUCUUGAGUUCGGGAGAGGUGAGUGGAACUGCGAGUGUAGAGGUGAAAUUCGUAGAUAUUCGCAAGAACACCAGUGGCGAAGGCGGCUCACUGGCCCGAUACUGACGCUGAGGCACGAAAGCGUGGGGAGCAAACAGGAUUAGAUACCCGAGUAGUCC